GCAGAUUGCAACCGAAUAUGUAUAAAAACCACAUGCAUGAAGUAUCGGCGUGUCACGUUAACAAUAUCACAAUAGAAACAGCAACCAAAUUUGUAUUACUAUGCCUUUAUGUUAUUCAAUUAAUAUAUUUAAUAGUAUUUGUAUCAAUAUUGAUAUAAAAAGUUCAAUAUCCAGGUAAAAAUAGCAUAAUUCUUCUGGGUUUUUUUCUUUUCAAAAUCACGGGGGAGGAACUGUUACACGAGACUCGGUUGUGGAGGAUAUCAUGUUACAGAUUUAGGAUGCUACUGUUACAGUAUUACUGGAUAACGUUACAGCAUUCGGAGGAUAAUAAUCGCUGUCGGGGUUUUGUUUGCCAAAGAAAUGCCUCCUGUAGAACGCAGAACGUGUGAAUACCAAAGGAAGGUCUGUAGUUCGACUGGUCAUGAGAACAACAACAACGCAAAGCAGAAUUUCCAGUACAAACAGGCAAAAAGAUCAAGGUCGUUCCUUGGACAGAGGAGCAGUUAGCGGCCAUGCGAAGGUCAUUCGCCAAAAAUCUCCGCUGCUUAAGAGUUCCUAACAAGGAGGAAUGCGAACGAGCAAGGAAAAAUGAGAGCCUGUUGCUUUGUCGUGACUGGAAGAACAUCAAAUUUCGUGUCCAUCAUGA
This is a long non-coding RNA of Mercenaria mercenaria, 646 nucleotides long. RefSeq lists it as uncharacterized. The transcript is spliced from 3 exons. NCBI's taxonomy places the organism in Eukaryota, Metazoa, Mollusca, Bivalvia, Venerida, Veneridae. The record is from RefSeq and is a predicted model, not a curated record.